GGGUCAGUAGGUUGGUCGUGCCACCGGUACGUACUGGUCUCACUGAUUCCUCCUUCCUGAAGAACCGUAAUGCCAUUAAUUUGGUGUUGCGGGGAGAAAGGACUGUUACUUUGAAAAAAUUAGAGUGUUUAAAGCAAGCUAACGCUUGAAUACAUUAGCAUGGAAUAAUGAAAUAGGACGAUCGAUCCUAUUUUGUUGGUUUCUAGGAUUGACGUA
Molecule: ribosomal RNA, 216 nt
Filed under: Glomeromycotina sp.
Lineage: Eukaryota; Fungi; Glomeromycota
Description: partial small subunit ribosomal RNA
Rfam family: Eukaryotic small subunit ribosomal RNA (bases 40-216)
Source: RNAcentral